CCAAUAGCGUAUAUUAAAGUUGUUGUGGUUAAAAAGCUCGUAGUUGAACCUUGGGCCUGGCUGGCCGGUCCGCCUCACCGCGUGUACUGGUCCGGCCGGGCCUUUCCCUCUGUGGAACCCCAUGCCCUUCACUGGGUGUGGCGGGGAAACAGGACUUUUACUGUGAAAAAAUUAGAGUGCUCCAGACAGGCCUAUGCUCGAAUACAUUAGCAUGGAAUAAUAGAAUAGGACGUGUGGUUCUAUUUUGUUGGUUUCUAGGACCGCCGUAAUGAUUAAUAGGGACAGUCGGGGGCAUCAGUAUUCAAUUGUCAGAGGUGAAAUUCUUGGAUUUAUUGAAGACUAACUACUGCGAAAGCAUUUGCCAAGGAUGUUUUCAUUAAUCAGGAACGAAAGUUAGGGGAUCGAAGACGAUCAGAUACCGUCGUAGUCUUAACCAUAAACUAUGCCGACUAGGGAUCGGACGGUGUUAUUUUUUGACCCGUUCGGCACCUUACG
This 495-nucleotide unclassified non-coding RNA is filed under the name uncultured Glomeromycotina. Its description in RNAcentral is "SSU rRNA". It matches the Rfam family "Eukaryotic small subunit ribosomal RNA", at positions 591 to 1092 of the family's 1831-position model. Lineage: Eukaryota; Fungi; Glomeromycota. The record is from RNAcentral.